Molecule: ribosomal RNA, 301 nt
Filed under: uncultured bacterium
Lineage: Bacteria
Description: partial 16S ribosomal RNA
Rfam family: Bacterial small subunit ribosomal RNA
Source: RNAcentral
CAGUCGCCACGGUAAUACAGAGGGUGCGAGCGUUAAUCGGAUUUACUGGGCGUAAAGCGUGUGUAGGUUGUUGUUCAAGUCAGUUGUGAAAUCCCUGGGCUCAACCUGGGAACUGCUUCUGAGACUGAACGACUAGAGUACGGUAGAGGGUGGUGGAAUUUCCGGUGUAGCGGUGAAAUGCGUAGAUAUCGGAAGGAACAUCAAUGGCGAAGGCAGCCACCUGGGCCUGUACUGACACUGAGACACGAAAGCGUGGGGAUCAAACAGGAUUAGAUACCCGUGUAGUCCCUGUCUCUUAUAC